Molecule: ribosomal RNA, 853 nt
Filed under: Colletotrichum fructicola
Lineage: Eukaryota; Fungi; Ascomycota; Sordariomycetes; Glomerellales; Glomerellaceae
Description: LSU rRNA
Rfam family: Eukaryotic large subunit ribosomal RNA
Source: RNAcentral
UCAGUAACGGCGAGUGAAGCGGCAACAGCUCAAAUUUGAAAUCUGGCCCUAGGCCCGAGUUGUAAUUUGCAGAGGAUGCUUUUGGUGCGGUGCCUUCCAAGUUCCCUAGAACGGGACGCCAGAGAGGGUGAGAGCCCCGUACAGUUGGACACCAAGCCUUUGUAAAGCUCCUUCGACGAGUCGAGUAGUUUGGGAAUGCUGCUCAAAAUGGGAGGUAUAUUUCUUCUAAAGCUAAAUACCGGCCAGAGACCGAUAGCGCACAAGUAGAGUGAUCGAAAGAUGAAAAGCACUUUGAAAAGAGGGUUAAACAGCACGUGAAAUUGUUAAAAGGGAAGCGCUUGUGACCAGACUUGCGUCCGGUGAAUCACCCAGCUCUCGCGGCUGGGGCACUUCGCCGGCUCAGGCCAGCAUCAGCUCGCUGUCGGGGACAAAAGCUUCAGGAACGUAGCUCUCUUCGGGGAGUGUUAUAGCCUGUUGCACAAUACCCUUCGGCGGGCUGAGGUACGCGCUCCGCAAGGAUGCUGGCAUAAUGGUCAUCAGCGACCCGUCUUGAAACACGGACCAAGGAGUCAACCUUAUGUGCGAGUGUUCGGGUGUCAAACCCCUACGCGUAAUGAAAGUGAACGCAGGUGAGAGCUUCGGCGCAUCAUCGACCGAUCCUGAUGUUCUCGGAUGGAUUUGAGUAAGAGCAUAUAGGGUUGGACCCGAAAGAAGGUGAACUAUGCGUGUAUAGGGUGAAGCCAGAGGAAACUCUGGUGGAGGCUCGCAGCGGUUCUGACGUGCAAAUCGAUCGUCAAAUAUGCGCAUGGGGGCGAAAGACUAAUCGAACCUUCUAGUAGCUGGUUUCCGCCGA